UAAGCAUAUCCAAUAUUUAUAUAUAGAAUUCGUAACAGAUGUCUGGGCUUCCAUUCCAAUAGCCUAUAUUUUACACUGUUUAUUUACAUGGUUACACCAAACAAGACUCAAUUCAAGGUAACCCAAUCCUUUGCUACUAUACCAAAAUAAGCAACAUUUUCAGUCCAUGCCUUAUUUAUAUUCACCAAGCAUGACACUGGGCUUCCAACUGCUCAUCGGAGCAAGCUGCAGCCUGGACACAAGCUAGAGAUUAAUCAGUCAGGAAUGAUCCUGCGUCCAGUGCCAGCACGAUGGGAGAGACCGAGAAACAGAAGACAUCAGGGCUCCAGAGUGAAGGAGCCCACAGGAAACAUAUUUUGAAAAACACUGGCCUAGAGGCAGAAGUGAAAUGGAAAACACCAAAGUAAAACUGAAGAGGAGUCGCUGGGCAGGGAAUGGUCGGAGGCACCCUGAAUCCUGGACCGAUGGAGAUCCCCAGCUCUGCAUGGUCCCCUCCCUGGGCCCAGACCGCCUCCCCCCAUUCCCGGAUAAGAAGGCUAAUGCGCACCAGGUGAAGGGCUUGCCUGGGCCACACCCCCGGGCUCGCCCCACACCAGUUGUGCUCCUGUGAGAACCAGUGACUUUCUUGAUUUGGCUACUGCGGAAUUGUUUGCAACUAACCACCCCAGAUACAAAUGACAAAUGAUCAGAUAUAAAGGACCCACGGGUCCCUGUGAUACGGCUUCAUGCAGCCAGCACGGCUAGUGCCCUGCAGAACAAGAAUGACCCCAGGCAAGUCCUCGCCUCCCAGACCCAGAAUCCCAUGGAGCCCACCAGGGCUGGUUCACAAGCACUGUCUGGGUCGGGCAGAGAUUCCAGCAAGAGGAGGGAACAUCCGUGCACCAGAGCCAGUUACCAGAAGUAAAUCACCUGUUCCAAAACCCAGGCUGUUAAUGGAGUCCAUUGUUGACCGGAGCUGGGGUCUAGCUACGGAAUACUGCCCAGCAGAGAUCCUCCUGACAGAAAGCACUUUUUCCCAAAAGCCAUGGAUCCUCCA
This is a non-coding RNA of Macaca mulatta (Rhesus monkey), 1036 nucleotides long. The record is from RefSeq and is a predicted model, not a curated record. NCBI's taxonomy places the organism in Eukaryota, Metazoa, Chordata, Mammalia, Primates, Cercopithecidae.